UACGGGGGGGGCAAGCGUUGUUCGGAAUUACUGGGCGUAAAGGGCUCGUAGGCGGCCAACUAAGUCAUACGUGAAAUCCCUCAGCUUAACUGGGGAACUGCGUGUGAUACUGGAUGGCUUGGAUUUGGGAGAGGGAUGCGGAAUUCCUGGUGUAGCGGUGAAAUGCGCAGAUAUCAGGAGGAACACCAAUGGCGAAGGCAGCUCGCUGGGACGUGACUGACGCUGAGACGCGAAAGCGUGGGGAGCAAACAGG
RNAcentral lists this ribosomal RNA (253 nucleotides) under uncultured bacterium. RNAcentral's name for it is "partial 16S ribosomal RNA". It matches the Rfam family "Bacterial small subunit ribosomal RNA", at positions 524 to 776 of the family's 1533-position model. The record is from RNAcentral.